Molecule: unclassified non-coding RNA, 1118 nt
Filed under: Hevea brasiliensis (rubber tree)
Lineage: Eukaryota; Viridiplantae; Streptophyta; Magnoliopsida; Malpighiales; Euphorbiaceae
Source: RNAcentral
CACGCAUUCUUACACGACAUGUAAGGAUUUUGCUUAAAGCCCCUUUCCCUUCAACAUCAGUAUUGCAUAACAGUGCAUUCAUGGAGAAAAUAACAAAACCCACCCGCUAGAAUUCGAACUUCUAGUUCAGCUGUUUGUAGCAGCUAUAGGCAACAGCUACUGACACUGCAGCACAGGCAACAGCAAGAGCUGCAUAUGUAUCCUCACGCUCCCAGCUCUCAAACCAUGUUGGCAUAGCGGCAACCUUACGCGUAGAUAACCCUUUUCCACUGUUAAUCCGGGAUAGUAGUCUCUUGCUGCUCUUCUUCUUCUCAAGUGACCCCUUCAAACCCUUCUCAUUGGCAUCUUGAGCCUCCUUAUGAGGUAAGGAAAGAUUUUGGCAACAAGUAGAAUUUCCAUUUUGCUGACAACAUUUCACAACUUCUACUUCAGAACUUGUUGCUGCAGAGCAUGCUUCAUCUAUCUGGGUUUGUGUCAACUUAUUAGAGCUCUUUCCCACACCUGUAUCACCUUUUAGUUGGAGCCUUAGCUCUUGGGAUUUGAUCUGCUCUUCUUCAGAUAAACCCAUCUGGCCCCUCCAUAGCCAAUCUACAAUUUCUCCUUUUCCAAUAUGCUGCUCUAGUAAUAUGGGUACGUCAUCUGGGGUAACAUAUCCGUACCAGUGUCCAGUGAUAACUCCAUUCAUGCUUGAUCCAAUAAUAAUGACAUUUCCUGCAUACUUAUGCCCGCCAAUGUGAGAGCAUGGGCUAGCAGACACUUUACCUCUAAGUCCAUGUAAUUCUAUCUCCUCUUUGAAUUUACUGACCAAAGCAGGACCACAAACACCACACCGACGAUCUCGGGAUCCAUGAGAACAUACAAAAACAUAAAAGCCCUUAAGUGUUUCUGGAGUUCCAGGCAGCCAUUCACCAUCCUUCACAAGCACUUCCUCAACAAAUGUGUCAACAUCAAAAUGUGUCAAUCUCCUGUAUCUGAUCAUGUCUGGGAAGAUUAAUACAUCUCCAUUUGAUGUCUCAGUUCCAUCAUGUCCCUCACAUAUUGUUAAGCGAGUCUCUUUCUUCAUAUCACCCUUUCUAGCCAUGACAGCAGCAGAGAGCAACCUAGGCAAUCGAUCAAAC